Molecule: unclassified non-coding RNA, 323 nt
Filed under: Hevea brasiliensis (rubber tree)
Lineage: Eukaryota; Viridiplantae; Streptophyta; Magnoliopsida; Malpighiales; Euphorbiaceae
Source: RNAcentral
UUACCUGGGUUGAAAGCAAGAUUCCAAAGUGCCCCUGCUGCAGUUUCAUGGACAUCCUCAGCCUCAGAUCGUGCCAGAGCAAUUAGAGGUGCAACACCUCCUUCUCGUCCAAUGGCAAUGCUAUUGGCUUCCGACACCGACAAUCCCCAGAGAGCUCCAGCAGCCCUCUCUUGUAGACCAGGAGAGGCAUUUGAACAGGAUUGAGCAAGAGCAACCAAAGCCUCAACACCACCAGCCACUGCAAUUGCUUCUCGAUUCCUGUCAUCAAAAGAUAAGUUCCACAAAGCACCAGCAGCUUCCUGCCUGACACCUUCAUGUGGUGA